CACAGAACACCAGUUUCAACUCUCUAGUUCACUCUUGUUCCUUUAGGUAUUUAUGUUCUGCUAUUGCAUUUCUCCCCAUUUGGAACAAUGGCCUAACAAGAUCCAGGUUGGGGAGCUGCUUUGCACAAUCUUGAAGGGCUGGAUCAUUGCUGUUUUAAGACUGCUGAUACUCUGUGCAGGUACAUGGCCCAGGGCAGCUACAAGGGCACUAGGAGAGAAGUCAAGAUGGUGACACAGAGUUUUCUAGGAUUGUAGAGCAGGCCAGUGUGUUUUCUCAUUGAAGAGGAGAUUAUAAUCACUGCCAGCCAGGAGGAAUUUAGGAAUGAAAGGCCAGAAACGAUAUUAUUUUCCCUUGAUGUGGCUUCAUUCUCCUGGGACCCGAGGAAUGACAGAUUCCCAUCAUAUGGCCUGAAGAGCUUUGCUGAUGGCUGUGUGAAAGGUAAAAAUAAUUUUUGUUAAAAUGAUACAAAAUAUCUAUUAGGAGCAAGAGAAUAGUCACAGUAUUUGUGUUGUGUUUAGUGUGGUUAGAUGGUUUUAGUUGUAAAAAGAGCAGGUUGUGUUUCAGUUUGCCAUGUAUUUCAUAUCAUUAUACAAUAAAGAUUACA
Long non-coding RNA from Xenopus laevis (African clawed frog), 605 nucleotides. RefSeq lists it as uncharacterized. The transcript has 3 exons. Lineage: Eukaryota; Metazoa; Chordata; Amphibia; Anura; Pipidae. The record is from RefSeq and is a predicted model, not a curated record.